RNAcentral lists this ribosomal RNA (457 nucleotides) under uncultured bacterium. RNAcentral's name for it is "bacterial SSU rRNA". It matches the Rfam family "Bacterial small subunit ribosomal RNA", at positions 219 to 684 of the family's 1533-position model. The record is from RNAcentral.
UAUGGGAUGGGGUCGCGUCCUAUCAGCUUGAUGGCGGGGUAACGGCCCACCAUGGCUUCGACGGGUAGCCGGCCUGAGAGGGCGACCGGCCACAUUGGGACUGAGAUACGGCCCAGACUCCUACGGGAGGCAGCAGUGGGGAAUAUUGCACAAUGGGCGCAAGCCUGAUGCAGCGACGCCGCGUGCGGGAUGACGGCCUUCGGGUUGUAAACCGCUUUUGACUGGGAGCAAGCCCUUCGGGGUGAGUGUACCUUUCGAAUAAGCACCGGCUAACUACGUGCCAGCAGCCGCGGUAAUACGUAGGGUGCAAGCGUUAUCCGGAAUUAUUGGGCGUAAAGGGCUCGUAGGCGGUUCGUCGCGUCCGGUGUGAAAGUCCAUCGCUUAACGGUGGAUCCGCGCCGGGUACGGGCGGGCUUGAGUGCGGUAGGGGAGACUGGAAUUCCCGGUGUAACGGUGG